AGCAGCCGCGGUAAUUCCAGCUCCAAUAGCGUAUAUUAAAGUUGUUGCAGUUAAAAAGCUCGUAGUUGAAUUUCGGGAUUGACACAUCGGUCGUGCCUUAAGGGGUAUGAACUGGUGUAGUCAAUUUCUCACCUUCUGGAGAACCGCGAUGCCCUUAAUUGGGUGUCGUGGGGAACCAGGACCUUUACUUUGAAAAAUUAGAGUGUUUAAAGCAGGCAUUUUGCUUGAAUACAUUAGCAUGGAAUAAUAAAAUAGGACGGCAUGAUUCUAUUUUGUUGGUUUCUAGGAUCACCGUAAUGAUUAAUAGGGAUAGUUGGGGGCAUUGGUAUUCAAUUGUCAGAGGUGAAAUUCUUGGAUUUAUUGAAGACUAACUACUGCGAAAGCAUUUGCCAAGGAUGUUUUCAUUAAUACAAGAACGAAAGUUAGGGGAUCGAAGACGAUCAGAUACCGUCGUAGUCUUAACCAUAAACUAUAGCCGACUAGGAAU
This 487-nucleotide ribosomal RNA is filed under the name uncultured Entrophospora. RNAcentral describes it as "SSU rRNA". It matches the Rfam family "Eukaryotic small subunit ribosomal RNA", at positions 569 to 1053 of the family's 1831-position model. The record is from RNAcentral. Lineage: Eukaryota; Fungi; Glomeromycota; Glomeromycetes; Entrophosporales; Entrophosporaceae.